RNAcentral lists this ribosomal RNA (245 nucleotides) under uncultured Paraprevotella sp. Its description in RNAcentral is "partial 16S ribosomal RNA". It matches the Rfam family "Bacterial small subunit ribosomal RNA", at positions 524 to 769 of the family's 1533-position model. The record is from RNAcentral. Lineage: Bacteria; Pseudomonadati; Bacteroidota; Bacteroidia; Bacteroidales; Prevotellaceae.
UACGGAAGAUGCGAGCGUUAUCCGGAUUUAUUGGGUUUAAAGGGAGCGUAGGCGGAUUUUUAAGUCUGCGGUAAAAUGGCCGUGCUCAACGCGGUCCCGCCGUGGAAACUGGGAAUCUUGAAUGUGCACAAGGAAGGUGGAAUUCGUGGUGUAGCGGUGAAAUGCUUAGAUAUCACGAAGAACUCCGAUUGCGAAGGCAGCCUUCUGGGGCAUGAUUGACGCUGAGGCUCGAAAGCGCGGGAAUC